Molecule: ribosomal RNA, 207 nt
Filed under: uncultured bacterium
Lineage: Bacteria
Description: partial 16S ribosomal RNA
Rfam family: Bacterial small subunit ribosomal RNA
Source: RNAcentral
CGCGUAGGUGGUUUGUUAAGUUGGAUGUGAAAGCCCCGGGCUCAACCUGGGAACUGCAUCCAAAACUGGCAGGCUAGAGUACAGUAGAGGGUGGUGGAAUUUCCUGUGUAGCGGUGAAAUGCGUAGAUAUAGGAAGGAGCACCAGUGGCGAAGGCGACCACCUGAACUGAUACUGACACUGAGGUGCGAAAGCGUGGGGAGCAAACA